AACGAACGCUGGCGGCGUGGCUAAGACAUGCAAGUCGAACGAAUCGGCCAAUUGAGUAAUCGAGAGGCCGGUUAGUGGCGUAAGGGUGAGUAAUGGAUAGGUAAUGUACCCUGUGCUUCGGAAUAGCGCCGUUCGCCUUCGGGCGAACUACCGAAAGGGGCGGUAAUACCGAAAAUAUCAUUUGUCGAUGGACAAAUGUUCAAAGAUUUAUCGGCGCAGGAGCAGCCUAUCUCCUAUCAGCUUGUUGGUGAGGUAAUGGCCCACCAAGGCUAUGACGGGUAGCGGGACUGAGAGGUUGGCCCGCCACAUCGGGACUGAGACACUGCCCGGACCUCCACGGAGGGCUGCAGUAACGAAUAUUGUGCAAUGGGCGAAAGCCUGACACAGCGACGCCGCGUGUAGGAGGAAGUCCUUCGGGAUGUAAACUACUGUCAGGGGGAAGAAAGUGCGCUUCGGCGCAUUGAUCUAACCCAGAGGAAGUCACGGCUAACUUCGUGCCAGCAGCCGCGGUAAGACGAAGGUGGCAAGCGUUGUUCGGUGUCACUGGGCUUAAAGAGUGUGUAGGCGGAAAAGUAAGCGUCGUGUGAAAGCCCCCGGCUUAACCGGGGAAUGGCUCGAUGAACUGCUUUUCUUGAGGCAAGUAGGGGUGCAUGGAACUCUUGGUGGAGCGGUGGAAUGCGUAGAUAUCAAGAGGAACGCCGGUGGUGAAAACGGUGCACUGGGCUUGGCCUGACGCUGAGACACGAAAGCGUGGGGAGCGAACGGGAUUGGAUACCCCGGUAGUCCACGCCGUAAACAAUGUCUACUAGGUUGUGGGAGUUCUGACACUGCCACGGCCGAAGCAAAAGUGUUAAGUAGACCGCCUGGGGAGACGGUCGCAAGGCU
Molecule: ribosomal RNA, 885 nt
Filed under: uncultured Planctomycetota bacterium
Lineage: Bacteria; Pseudomonadati; Planctomycetota
Description: bacterial SSU rRNA
Rfam family: Bacterial small subunit ribosomal RNA
Source: RNAcentral